This 296-nucleotide ribosomal RNA is filed under the name uncultured bacterium. RNAcentral describes it as "partial 16S ribosomal RNA". It matches the Rfam family "Bacterial small subunit ribosomal RNA", at positions 28 to 334 of the family's 1533-position model. The record is from RNAcentral.
GAUGAACGCUGGCGGCGUGCCUAACACAUGCAAGUCGAGCGAUCUUCUUCGGAAGAGAGCGGCGGACGGGUGAGUAACGCGUGGGUAACCUGCCCUGUACACACGGAUAACAUACCGAAAGGUAUGCUAAUACGAGAUAAUAUACUUUAUCGCAUGGUAGAAGUAUCAAAGCUCCGGCGGUACAGGAUGGACCCGCGUCUGAUUAGCUAGUUGGUGAGGUAACGGCUCACCAAGGCGACGAUCAGUAGCCGACCUGAGAGGGUGAUCGGCCACAUUGGAACUGAGACACGGUCCAA